RNAcentral lists this unclassified non-coding RNA (18 nucleotides) under Mus musculus (house mouse). RNAcentral's name for it is "oocyte_clustered_small_RNA7160". Lineage: Eukaryota; Metazoa; Chordata; Mammalia; Rodentia; Muridae. The record is from RNAcentral.
ACCAAGGCAUCUGAGCAU